RNAcentral lists this ribosomal RNA (786 nucleotides) under Triticum aestivum (bread wheat). Its description in RNAcentral is "partial small subunit ribosomal RNA". Lineage: Eukaryota; Viridiplantae; Streptophyta; Magnoliopsida; Poales; Poaceae. The record is from RNAcentral.
AUGGAUAUGAAUUUUGUUGGUAGGAAUAAUUUUUGUAAUAUCGCGUAUAGAGGUAAUUUUAAUUCUAGGCCGUUUCCUAGUAAUUCCUCUAAUAAUUAUGGUAAUUCCUACAACAAUUUUUAUGGAAAUUUUAAUAAGAUGCCCUCUGAAUUCUAUACUAGUGUUAAGGAGUUUAUGAAUUCGCAAAAGAAUUUCAAUGCUUUGCUUGAAGAAAAAUUGCUUAAGGUUGAUGAAUUGGCUAGGAACGUUGAUAGAAUUUCUCUUGAUGUUGAUUCUUUGAAACUUAGAUCUAUUGCACCUAAGCAUGAUAUCAAUGAGUCUCUCAAAGCCACGAGAAUUUCCAUUGAUGAGUGCAAAGAAAGAACCGCUAGGAUGCGUGCUAAGAAAGAUAGCUUUGUGAAAGCGUGUUCUUCUAGUAUCUAUGAAAAUAAAGACGAAGAUCUAAAAGUUAUUGAUGUGUAUCCUAUUAAAUCUUUGUUUUGCAAUAUUAAUAUUGAUAAUGAUGGGACUGAAGAUGAGCCACAUUUACCUAUAAGGCAUUCCAAAAAUUUGGAGUUUUUAGAUCUUGAUGCAAAAAUUGUUAAAAGUGGGAUUGAAGAGGUCAAAACUUUAAAUAGCAAUGAACCCACUAUUUUGGAUUUCAAGGAAUUUAAUUAUGAUAAUUGCUCUUUGAUAGAUUGUAUUUCCUUGUUGCAAUCCGUGCUAAAUUCUCCUCAUGCUUAUAGUCAAAAUAAAGCUUUUACUAAACAUAUCGUUGAUGCUUUGAUGCAAUCUUAUGAAGAAUAA